UUAAAUGUAGCUUAAAUUAAAGCACUUAACUGUUAAUUAAGUAGAUACUAAAUAAGUCAUUUAAA
Molecule: transfer RNA, 65 nt
Filed under: Physa fontinalis
Lineage: Eukaryota; Metazoa; Mollusca; Gastropoda; Physidae
Description: tRNA-Asn
Rfam family: tRNA
About the family: Transfer RNA (tRNA) molecules are approximately 80 nucleotides in length. Their secondary structure includes four short double-helical elements and three loops (D, anti-codon, and T loops).
Source: RNAcentral